RNAcentral lists this ribosomal RNA (429 nucleotides) under Triticum aestivum (bread wheat). RNAcentral's name for it is "partial small subunit ribosomal RNA". Lineage: Eukaryota; Viridiplantae; Streptophyta; Magnoliopsida; Poales; Poaceae. The record is from RNAcentral.
AUGAUACGUCUGAAGAGCCUCCUCAUAAGCCAAAACCCUCUCAUCAUAAGCACGAUCAGCAGCCUCAUCAGCAAGCUUAGCCGCAUCCUUGGCGGCCUGAUUAGUGUCCGUAGGAAGAACCGGUGGAGUCGGCGGAGUAGGGGCCACCGGAGGAACCGGACGUGGCGGACAGCAGACCUCGCCAGAAAGAACACCCCAGAGACGGAUGCCACGCAUGUGAAUGCGCAUGAAGCCAGCGAACUCGGUGUAGUUAGUACCAUCGAAGAUCACCGGACAGCGAGGGACAGCAACAUAGCCCGAUGCAGCAGACUUUUUUUUAACAGAAGGCAGACGUUCAGGAGUCCCGAUCUGCAGCAGCGGCGGGCGGCUCGAUCAGAAGUGGACGAGCCUCGGAAGCAGAAGCUCGAUCUGGCCUCGAGCGGAAGAUAG